GACGUAGGGCGCGAGCGUUGUCCGGAUUUAUUGGGCGUAAAGAGCUCGUAGGCGGCUUGUCGCGUCGACUGUGAAAACCCGUAGCCCAACUGCGGGCCUGCAGUCGAUACGGGCAGGCUAGAGUUCGGUAGGGGAGACUGGAAUUCCUGGUGUAGCGGUGAAAUGCGCAGAUAUCAGGAGGAACACCGGUGGCGAAGGCGGGUCUCUGGGCCGAUACUGACGCUGAGAAGCGAAAGCAUGGGGAGCGAACAGG
Molecule: ribosomal RNA, 253 nt
Filed under: uncultured bacterium
Lineage: Bacteria
Description: partial 16S ribosomal RNA
Rfam family: Bacterial small subunit ribosomal RNA
Source: RNAcentral